AGGAUAAACGCUGGCGGCGUGCAUGAGACAUGCAAGUCGAACGGACACUUGGGGCUUGCUCCAAGUGUUAGUGGCGGACGGCUGAGUAACGCGUAGGUGACCUGCCCCGAAGUGGGGAAUAACUGCCCGAAAGGGUGGCUAAUACCGCAUGUGGUGGUGUGUUCAUUCACACCAGUAAAGCCGCAAGGCGCUUCGGGAGGGGCCUGCGUCCGAUUAGCUCGUUGGUGGGGUAACGGCUCACCAAGGCGACGAUCGGUAGGUGGUCUGAGAGGACGAUCACCCAGACUGGGACUGAGACACGGCCCAGACUCCUACGGGAGGCAGCAGUCGGGAAUUUUGCGCAAUGGACGAAAGUCUGACGCAGCAACGCCGCGUGAGGAUGAAGGCCUUCGGGUUGUAAACCUCUUUUAUCAGGGAAGAUAAUGACGGUACCUGAUGAAUAAGUCACGGCUAACUACGUGCCAGCAGCCGC
This 472-nucleotide ribosomal RNA is filed under the name uncultured bacterium. RNAcentral's name for it is "SSU rRNA". It matches the Rfam family "Bacterial small subunit ribosomal RNA", at positions 26 to 518 of the family's 1533-position model. The record is from RNAcentral.